AGGACGAACGCUGGCGGCGUGCUUAACACAUGCAAGUCGAGCGGAAAGGCCCUUCGGGGUACUCGAGCGGCGAACGGGUGAGUAACACGUGAGUAAUCUGCCCCUAGCUCUGGGAUAGCUCCGGGAAACCGGGAUUAAUACCGGAUACGACCACCUUAGACAUCUUUUGUGGUGGAAAGAAUUUCGGCUAGGGAUGAGCUCGCGGCCUAUCAGCUUGUGGUGGGUAACGCCUACAGGCGACGACGGGUA
RNAcentral lists this ribosomal RNA (249 nucleotides) under uncultured bacterium. Its description in RNAcentral is "partial small subunit ribosomal RNA". It matches the Rfam family "Bacterial small subunit ribosomal RNA", at positions 26 to 285 of the family's 1533-position model. The record is from RNAcentral.